GUAGGGGCCAAGCGUUAUCCGGAUUUAUUGGGGCGUAAAGAGCUCGUAGGCGGCUUGGCAAGUCGGUCGUGAAAGUCCGAGGCUCAACCUCGGGAAUGCCGGGUCGAAACUGCCAUGGCUAGGGUUCGGUAGAGGAGAGUGGAAUUCUCGGUGUAGCGGUGAAAUGCGCAGAUAUCGAGAGGAACACCAGUAGCGAAGGCGGCUCUCUGGGCCGAUACCGACGCUGAGGAGCGAAAGCGUGGGGAGCAAACAGGAUUAGAUACCCUGGUAGUCCACGCCGUAAACGGUGAUCACUAGGUGUGGCGGACUCAUUGACGUCUGCUGUGCCGGCGCUAACGCAUUAAGUGAUCCGCCUGGGGAGUACGGCCGCAAAGGCUAA
Molecule: ribosomal RNA, 379 nt
Filed under: uncultured organism
Description: partial 16S ribosomal RNA
Rfam family: Bacterial small subunit ribosomal RNA
Source: RNAcentral